Molecule: ribosomal RNA, 213 nt
Filed under: uncultured bacterium
Lineage: Bacteria
Description: partial 16S ribosomal RNA
Rfam family: Bacterial small subunit ribosomal RNA
Source: RNAcentral
UACGUAGGGGGGCAAGCGUUUGUCCGGAAUCAUUGGGCGUAAAGCGCGUGUAGGCGGCUCGAUAAGUCUGUCUGUGAAAGUUCAGGGCUCAACCCUGAAAUGCCGGUGGAAACUGUCGGGCUAGAGUCCGGAAGAGGCGAGUGGAAUUCCGUGGUGUAGCGGUGAAAUGCGCAGAUAAUCAGGAGGAACACCAAUGGCGAAGGGCAGCUCGCU